This 82-nucleotide transfer RNA is filed under the name Myxococcales bacterium. RNAcentral's name for it is "tRNA-OTHER". The record is from RNAcentral. Lineage: Bacteria; Pseudomonadati; Myxococcota; Myxococcia; Myxococcales.
GCGCGAGCGAUCAGCGAGUGACGAGUAUGAGAGGUCGAAGAUCUCGAAGGGGAUGCCAGUUCGAAUCUGGUCUCGUGCUCCA